Molecule: ribosomal RNA, 1070 nt
Filed under: Citrobacter koseri
Lineage: Bacteria; Pseudomonadati; Pseudomonadota; Gammaproteobacteria; Enterobacterales; Enterobacteriaceae
Description: bacterial LSU rRNA
Rfam family: Bacterial large subunit ribosomal RNA
Source: RNAcentral
CCGGUGCCGGAAGGUUAAUUGAUGGGGUUAUCCCUCGGGAGAAGCUCUUGAUCGAAGCCCCGGUAAACGGCGGCCGUAACUAUAACGGUCCUAAGGUAGCGAAAUUCCUUGUCGGGUAAGUUCCGACCUGCACGAAUGGCGUAAUGAUGGCCAGGCUGUCUCCACCCGAGACUCAGUGAAAUUGAACUCGCUGUGAAGAUGCAGUGUACCCGCGGCAAGACGGAAAGACCCCGUGAACCUUUACUAUAGCUUGACACUGAACACUGGUCCUUGAUGUGUAGGAUAGGUGGGAGGCUUUGAAGUGCGGACGCCAGUCUGCAUGGAGCCGCCCUUGAAAUACCACCCUUUAAUGGCUGGUGUUCUAACGUGGGCCCGUAAUCCGGGUUGCGGACAGUGUCUGGUGGGUAGUUUGACUGGGGCGGUCUCCUCCUAAAGAGUAACGGAGGAGCACGAAGGUCAGCUAAUCCUGGUCGGACAUCAGGAGGUUAGUGCAAUGGCAUAAGCUGGCUUGACUGCGAGCGUGACGGCGCGAGCAGGUGCGAAAGCAGGUCAUAGUGAUCCGGUGGUUCUGAAUGGAAGGGCCAUCGCUCAACGGAUAAAAGGUACUCCGGGGAUAACAGGCUGAUACCGCCCAAGAGUUCAUAUCGACGGCGGUGUUUGGCACCUCGAUGUCGGCUCAUCACAUCCUGGGGCUGAAGUAGGUCCCAAGGGUAUGGCUGUUCGCCAUUUAAAGUGGUACGCGAGCUGGGUUUAGAACGUCGUGAGACAGUUCGGUCCCUAUCUGCCGUGGGCGCUGGAGAACUGAGGGGGGCUGCUCCUAGUACGAGAGGACCGGAGUGGACGCAUCACUGGUGUUCGGGUUGUCAUGCCAAUGGCACUGCCCGGUAGCUAAAUGCGGAAGAGAUAAGUGCUGAAAGCAUCUAAGCACGAAACUUGCCCCGAGAUGAGUUCUCCCUGACUCCUUGAGAGUCCUGAAGGAACGUUGAAGACGACGACGUUGAUAGGCCGGGUGUGUAAGCGCAGCGAUGCGUUGAGCUAACCGGUACUAAUGAACCGUGAGGCUUAACCUU